Molecule: non-coding RNA, 98 nt
Organism: Ignavibacteria bacterium RBG_16_35_7
Lineage: Bacteria; Pseudomonadati; Ignavibacteriota; Ignavibacteria
Source: Rfam
UAUAGCCGUUAGGGGUGCAUUCCGAAAGUGGAAGCUGAGAAAAAACCCUUAAACCUGAUCUGGAUAAUACUAGCGUAGGGAAACGGAUGAAAGAGUAA